This 2921-nucleotide ribosomal RNA is filed under the name Klebsiella pneumoniae. Its description in RNAcentral is "bacterial LSU rRNA". It matches the Rfam family "Bacterial large subunit ribosomal RNA". The record is from RNAcentral. Lineage: Bacteria; Pseudomonadati; Pseudomonadota; Gammaproteobacteria; Enterobacterales; Enterobacteriaceae.
GGGUUGUGAGGUUAAGCGACUAAGCGUACACGGUGGAUGCCCUGGCAGUCAGAGGCGAUGAAGGACGUGCUAAUCUGCGAAAAGCGUCGGUAAGGUGAUAUGAACCGUUAUAACCGGCGAUGUCCGAAUGGGGAAACCCAGUGCAAUUCGUUGCACUAUCGUUAACUGAAUACAUAGGUUAACGAGGCGAACCGGGGGAACUGAAACAUCUAAGUACCCCGAGGAAAAGAAAUCAACCGAGAUUCCCCCAGUAGCGGCGAGCGAACGGGGAGCAGCCCAGAGUCUGAAUCAGCUUGUGUGUUAGUGGAACGGUCUGGAAAGUCCGACGGUACAGGGUGAUAGUCCCGUACACCAAAAUGCACAGGCUGUGAACUCGAAGAGUAGGGCGGGACACGUGGUAUCCUGUCUGAAUAUGGGGGACCAUCCUCCAAGGCUAAAUACUCCUGACUGACCGAUAGUGAACCAGUACCGUGAGGGAAAGGCGAAAAGAACCCCGGCGAGGGGAGUGAAAAAGAACCUGAAACCGUGUACGUACAAGCAGUGGGAGCACCUUCGGGUGUGACUGCGUACCUUUUGUAUAAUGGGUCAGCGACUUAUAUUCUGUAGCAAGGUUAACCGUAUAGGGGAGCCGCAGGGAAACCGAGUCUUAACUGGGCGUUAAGUUGCAGGGUAUAGACCCGAAACCCGGUGAUCUAGCCAUGGGCAGGUUGAAGGUUGGGUAACACUAACUGGAGGACCGAACCGACUAAUGUUGAAAAAUUAGCGGAUGACUUGUGGCUGGGGGUGAAAGGCCAAUCAAACCGGGAGAUAGCUGGUUCUCCCCGAAAGCUAUUUAGGUAGCGCCUCGUGAACUCAUCUUCGGGGGUAGAGCACUGUUUCGGCUAGGGGGUCAUCCCGACUUACCAACCCGAUGCAAACUACGAAUACCGAAGAAUGUUAUCACGGGAGACACACGGCGGGUGCUAACGUCCGUCGUGAAGAGGGAAACAACCCAGACCGCCAGCUAAGGUCCCAAAGUCAUGGUUAAGUGGGAAACGAUGUGGGAAGGCACAGACAGCCAGGAUGUUGGCUUAGAAGCAGCCAUCAUUUAAAGAAAGCGUAAUAGCUCACUGGUCGAGUCGGCCUGCGCGGAAGAUGUAACGGGGCUAAACCAUGCACCGAAGCUGCGGCAGCGACACUAUGUGUUGUUGGGUAGGGGAGCGUUCUGUAAGCCUGCGAAGGUGUGCUGUGAGGCAUGCUGGAGGUAUCAGAAGUGCGAAUGCUGACAUAAGUAACGAUAAAGCGGGUGAAAAGCCCGCUCGCCGGAAGACCAAGGGUUCCUGUCCAACGUUAAUCGGGGCAGGGUGAGUCGACCCCUAAGGCGAGGCCGAAAGGCGUAGUCGAUGGGAAACAGGUUAAUAUUCCUGUACUUGGUGUUACUGCGAAGGGGGACGGAGAAGGCUAUGUUAGCCGGGCGACGGUUGUCCCGGUUUAAGCAUGUAGGCUGAUUGUCCAGGCAAAUCCGGAUAAUCAAGGCUGAGGUGUGAUGACGAGGCACUACGGUGCUGAAGUAACAAAUGCCCUGCUUCCAGGAAAAGCCUCUAAGCAUCAGGUAACAUCAAAUCGUACCCCAAACCGACACAGGUGGUCAGGUAGAGAAUACCAAGGCGCUUGAGAGAACUCGGGUGAAGGAACUAGGCAAAAUGGUGCCGUAACUUCGGGAGAAGGCACGCUGGUGUGUAGGUGAAGUCCCUGCGGAUGGAGCUGAGACCAGUCGAAGAUACCAGCUGGCUGCAACUGUUUAUUAAAAACACAGCACUGUGCAAACACGAAAGUGGACGUAUACGGUGUGACGCCUGCCCGGUGCCGGAAGGUUAAUUGAUGGGGUUAUCCGUAAGGAGAAGCUCUUGAUCGAAGCCCCGGUAAACGGCGGCCGUAACUAUAACGGUCCUAAGGUAGCGAAAUUCCUUGUCGGGUAAGUUCCGACCUGCACGAAUGGCGUAAUGAUGGCCAGGCUGUCUCCACCCGAGACUCAGUGAAAUUGAACUCGCUGUGAAGAUGCAGUGUACCCGCGGCAAGACGGAAAGACCCCGUGAACCUUUACUAUAGCUUGACACUGAACAUUGAGCCUUGAUGUGUAGGAUAGGUGGGAGGCUUUGAAGCGUGGACGCCAGUCUGCGUGGAGCCAACCUUGAAAUACCACCCUUUAAUGUUUGAUGUUCUAACGUUGGCCCCUGACCGGGGUUGCGGACAGUGUCUGGUGGGUAGUUUGACUGGGGCGGUCUCCUCCCAAAGCGUAACGGAGGAGCACGAAGGUUAGCUAAUCCUGGUCGGACAUCAGGAGGUUAGUGCAAUGGCAUAAGCUAGCUUGACUGCGAGCGUGACGGCGCGAGCAGGUGCGAAAGCAGGUCAUAGUGAUCCGGUGGUUCUGAAUGGAAGGGCCAUCGCUCAACGGAUAAAAGGUACUCCGGGGAUAACAGGCUGAUACCGCCCAAGAGUUCAUAUCGACGGCGGUGUUUGGCACCUCGAUGUCGGCUCAUCACAUCCUGGGGCUGAAGUAGGUCCCAAGGGUAUGGCUGUUCGCCAUUUAAAGUGGUACGCGAGCUGGGUUUAGAACGUCGUGAGACAGUUCGGUCCCUAUCUGCCGUGGGCGCUGGAGAAUUGAGGGGGGCUGCUCCUAGUACGAGAGGACCGGAGUGGACGCAUCACUGGUGUUCGGGUUGUCAUGCCAAUGGCACUGCCCGGUAGCUAAAUGCGGAAGAGAUAAGUGCUGAAAGCAUCUAAGCACGAAACUUGCCCCGAGAUGAGUUCUCCCUGAGACUUUAAGUCUCCUGAAGGAACGUUAAAGACGAUGACGUUGAUAGGCCGGGUGUGUAAGCGCAGCGAUGCGUUGAGCUAACCGGUACUAAUGAACCGUGAGGCUUAACCUUACAACGCCGAAG